UACGGAGGAUGCAAGCGUUAUCCGGAUUUAUUGGGCUUAAAGGGUGCGUAGGCGGCUUAUUAAGUCAGGGGUGAAAGACGGUGGCUCAACCAUCGCAGUGCCCUUGAUACUGAUGAGCUUGAAUACACGAGAGGUAGGCGGAAUGUGACAAGUAGCGGUGAAAUGCAUAGAUAUGUCGCAGAACACCGAUUGCGAAGGCAGCUUACUGUGGUGUCAUUGACGCUGAGGCACGAAAGCGUGGGGAUCAAACAGG
This 253-nucleotide ribosomal RNA is filed under the name uncultured bacterium. RNAcentral's name for it is "partial 16S ribosomal RNA". It matches the Rfam family "Bacterial small subunit ribosomal RNA", at positions 524 to 776 of the family's 1533-position model. The record is from RNAcentral.